GACAAGGUGGCCGAGUGGUUAAGGUGAUGGACUACUAAUCCACUGUGCUCUGCACACGUGGGUUCGAAUCCUAUCCUCUUUG
This 82-nucleotide transfer RNA is filed under the name Cavia porcellus (domestic guinea pig). It matches the Rfam family "tRNA". From Rfam's summary of the family: Transfer RNA (tRNA) molecules are approximately 80 nucleotides in length. Their secondary structure includes four short double-helical elements and three loops (D, anti-codon, and T loops). The record is from Rfam by way of RNAcentral. Lineage: Eukaryota; Metazoa; Chordata; Mammalia; Rodentia; Caviidae.